AGAAAAGUACCACUGUAAGUCAUGAGAUGUCUGGUCUGAAUUGGAAACCCUUUGUAUAUGGCGGCCUUGCCUCUAUCGUGGCUGAGUUUGGGACUUUCCCUGUGGACCUUACCAAAACACGACUUCAGGUUCAAGGCCAAAGCAUUGAUGCCCGUUUCAAAGAGAUAAAAUAUAGAGGGAUGUUCCAUGCGCUGUUUCGCAUCUGUAAAGAGGAAGGUGUAUUGGCUCUCUAUUCAGGAAUUGCUCCUGCGUUGCUAAGACAAGCAUCAUAUGGCACCAUUAAAAUUGGGAUUUACCAAAGCUUGAAGCGCUUAUUCGUAGAACGUUUAGAAGGUCAGUAUACUCACCCUCUUUUGAGGUGAUACCAAAGGGAUUGUUGAAAUCAUGCUUAGUGAGAAAUGUUGGUCAUGAGGUGCCUGAGAAUGGAGGAGAGUCACUGCAAAGACAAAGUGAGUUUGUUUUAACUUGGAAUAAAUCUUUGCAGAGGUGAUAUAUGAAUUAGAGAGAUCUGUUCUUCAAAUUUGUCCCUUUUCCUAUCAACAAAAAAGGCACGUGAUCAUCCCAAAAGAAACAUGGAACAAUCUUGUCCAGAAAAUUAAUGCUAUCUUCAUCAAUAAGAGGACUUCAACUGUAAGGCAUUUUCUAGCUGGCAAUUUUGAUA
RNAcentral lists this small RNA (661 nucleotides) under Pongo abelii (Sumatran orangutan). RNAcentral describes it as "processed transcript". Lineage: Eukaryota; Metazoa; Chordata; Mammalia; Primates; Hominidae. The record is from RNAcentral.